GAUGAACGCUCGCGGGAGGCCUAACACAUGCAAGCCGAGCGGUAGAGUUCCUUCGGGAACUUGAGAGCGGCGUACGGGUGCGUAACACGUGUGCAACCUACCUUUAUCUGGGGGAUAGCCUUUCGAAAGGAAGAUUAAUACCCCAUAAUAUAAUGAUUGGCAUCAAUUAUUAUUGAAAACUCCGGUGGAUAGAGAUGGGCACGCGCAAGAUUAGAUAGUUGGUGAGGUAACGGCUCACCAAGUCAAUGAUCUUUAGGGGUCCUGAGAGGGAGAUCCCCCACACUGGUACUGAGACACGGACCAGACUCCUACGGGAGGCAGCAGUGAGGAAUAUUGGACAAUGGGUGAAAGCCUGAUCCAGCCAUCCCGCGUGAAGGAGGACGGUCCUAUGGAUUGUAAACUUCUUUUGUACAGGGAUAAACCUACUCUCGUGAGGGUAGCUGAAGGUACUGUACGAAUAAGCACCGGCUAACUCCGUG
This 479-nucleotide ribosomal RNA is filed under the name uncultured bacterium. RNAcentral describes it as "partial 16S ribosomal RNA". It matches the Rfam family "Bacterial small subunit ribosomal RNA", at positions 28 to 507 of the family's 1533-position model. The record is from RNAcentral.